Molecule: transfer RNA, 73 nt
Organism: Camelus ferus (Wild Bactrian camel)
Lineage: Eukaryota; Metazoa; Chordata; Mammalia; Artiodactyla; Camelidae
Rfam family: tRNA
About the family: Transfer RNA (tRNA) molecules are approximately 80 nucleotides in length. Their secondary structure includes four short double-helical elements and three loops (D, anti-codon, and T loops). Further hydrogen bonds mediate the characteristic L-shaped molecular structure. tRNAs have two regions of fundamental functional importance: the anti-codon, which is responsible for specific mRNA codon recognition, and the 3' end, to which the tRNAs corresponding amino acid is attached (by aminoacyl-tRNA synthetases). tRNAs cope with the degeneracy of the genetic code in two manners: having more than one tRNA (with a specific anti-codon) for a particular amino acid; and 'wobble' base-pairing, i.e. permitting non-standard base-pairing at the 3rd anti-codon position.
Source: Rfam
GAGGGUAUAGCUCUAGUGGUAGAGUGCAUGCUUAGCAUGCAUGAGGUCCUGGGUUCAAUCCGCAGUACUUCCU